Molecule: unclassified non-coding RNA, 236 nt
Filed under: uncultured fungus
Lineage: Eukaryota; Fungi
Description: sequence contains ITS1, 5.8S rRNA gene
Rfam family: 5.8S ribosomal RNA (bases 188-236)
Source: RNAcentral
UCUCCGUUGGUGAACCAGCGGAGGGAUCAUUAUAGAGUUAUCACAACUCCAAACCCAUGUGAACUUACCACUGUUGCCUCGGCGGGUUCCAGGGCCUCUCUCGGGAGCUCUGGGCUCAAGCCCGCCGGUGGUUUUUACAAACUCUUUGUAUUAAUUUGCAAUCUGAGCGUACUUUUAAAUAAGUCAAAACUUUCAACAACGGAUCUCUUGGUUCUGGCAUCGAUGAAGAACGCAGC